GAAUUGCGAUAAGUAGUGUGAAUUGCAGAAUUCAGUGAAUCAUCGAAUCUUUGAACGCACAUUGCGCCCUUUGGUAUUCCUUAGGGCAUGCCUGUUCGAGCGUCAUUUGUACCCUCAAGCUCUGCUUGGUGUUGGGUGUUUGUCCCCGUCUCCGCGCGUGGACUCGCCCCAAAGUGAUUGGCAGCCGGCGUACUGGUCCCGGAGCGCAGCACAUGUCGCGCAAACGAGUGCCUUGGUACGGCGGCGUCCAUAAGCCCCUCUCUCACGCUCUUGACCUCGGAUCAGGUAGGGAUACCCGCUGAACUUAAGC
This 310-nucleotide unclassified non-coding RNA is filed under the name plant metagenome. RNAcentral's name for it is "partial contains 5.8S ribosomal RNA, internal transcribed spacer 2, and large subunit ribosomal RNA". The stretch from base 1 to 105 matches the Rfam family "5.8S ribosomal RNA", at positions 50 to 154 of the family's 154-position model. The record is from RNAcentral.